RNAcentral lists this long non-coding RNA (256 nucleotides) under Sorghum bicolor (sorghum). RNAcentral describes it as "long non-coding RNA (SBIC_LNC009233)". Lineage: Eukaryota; Viridiplantae; Streptophyta; Magnoliopsida; Poales; Poaceae. The record is from RNAcentral.
CUUAGGGCGUGUUUAGUUAGAGGUGUUAAAGUUUAAUAGGUAAUAUUUUUUAUUUUUGUUUUAUUUGACAAUUAUUGUCCAAUCAUGGAUUAAUUAGGUUUAAAAGAUUCGUCUUGAAAAUUAUUCUCUAGUUAUGUUUUUAGUUUCAUAUAUAGUCUAUAUUUAAUACUUCAUACAUGUAUCCAAAUAUUCGAUGUGACAAGAGUUGAAGUUUUAACUACGCCAACCAAACAGGGCCUACCUCAACGACGCUGAU